CGGGGGUGGGCUCAGGAUCCGGGCAUUCUGUGGGUCAAAUAUUGAUCGGGGCAUGUCAGGGAGGUUUGAGAUCAUCCUAGUGUGGUCCGUUUAAAUUUUGUGGCCAUUAGAAUGGACAAACGGGUGAAAUGGCGCAAACGGGGUAUUUUUGGGCUAAAUUAGUGUGCUAUAGCCCACGGUUUCGGGGGUAGGUCGGUGUACGGGCG
Molecule: long non-coding RNA, 206 nt
Filed under: Capsicum annuum
Lineage: Eukaryota; Viridiplantae; Streptophyta; Magnoliopsida; Solanales; Solanaceae
Description: long non-coding RNA (CANN_LNC022147)
Source: RNAcentral